AAAGCGGGAGCAAUCCCGCAAGUACAGUGGCGUACGGGUGAGUAACACGUGGGUGAUCUACCCUCUAGUGGGGAAUAACGCUGGGAAACCGGCGCUAAUACCGCAUAAGCUCGAGAGAGGAAAGCAGCAAUGCGCUGAAGGAGGAGCCCGCGGCCGAUUAGCUAGUUGGGAGGGUAAAAGCCUACCAAGGCAUAGAUCGGUAGCCGGCCUGAGAGGGCACACGGCCACACUGGCACUGAAACACGGGCCAGACUCCUACGGGAGGCAGCAGUGGGGAAUCUUGCACAAUGGGGGAAACCCUGAUGCAGCGACGCCGCGUGAGCGAUGAAGCCCUUCGGGGUGUAAAGCUCUUUCGUCAGGGACGAUAAUGACGGUACCUGGAGAAGCAGCUGCGGCUAACUACGUGCCAGCAGCCGCGGUAAUACGUAGGCAGCGAGCGUUGUUCGGAGUUACUGGGCGUAAAGGGUGUGUAGGCGGUUUUCUAAGUUUGGUGUGAAAUCUCCCGGCUCAACCGGGAGGGUGCGCCGAAAACUGGGAGACUAGAGUGCGGGAUGGGAGAGUAGAAUUCCUGGUGUAGCGGUGAAAUGCGUAGAUAUCAGGAGGAAUACCGGUGGUGUAGACGGCUCUCUGGACCGCCACUGACGCUGAGACACGAAAGCGUGGGUAGCAAACAGGAUUAGAUACCCUGGUAGUCCACGCCCUAAACGAUGCAUAUUUGGUGUAGGUCAUUCAGUUGAUCUGUGCCGGAGCUAACGCGUUAAAUAUGCCGCCUGGGGAGUACAGUCGCAAGGCUGAAACUCAAAGGAAUUGAC
Molecule: ribosomal RNA, 812 nt
Filed under: uncultured Bacillota bacterium
Lineage: Bacteria; Bacillati; Bacillota
Description: bacterial SSU rRNA
Rfam family: Bacterial small subunit ribosomal RNA
Source: RNAcentral